Molecule: long non-coding RNA, 288 nt
Filed under: Brassica napus (rape)
Lineage: Eukaryota; Viridiplantae; Streptophyta; Magnoliopsida; Brassicales; Brassicaceae
Description: long non-coding RNA (BNAP_LNC021819)
Source: RNAcentral
UUGACAAACUCAGUGAACGCCAACGCGACCAAACCAAGCAUCGCGAAACGUCCGUUCCAAAGCUCAGCGUCGGACGUCAUGAAACCUUUGGACUUAGACUCGGCGGUGAUACCCUUGAAAAGGGGUACAAGCGACGCAAGCGUCAAGAUCGCAGUCGUACCAAGGAACCACGAGACGCCGCCGUCGGAGAUCUGAGCCAAAACGUUUUCACCCUUGGAAAGUUCAACCGCCAAGGCCGCCACGAAUCCAACCAUCGCUAAACGCCCGUUUAUUCUUUCUGGUGCUGGA